GUUUUAAUAAUUUAAAUAAAAAAUAUUAGUCUUGUAAACUAAAAUUAGGAUCUUCUUUAAAACU
This 64-nucleotide transfer RNA is filed under the name Nesophrosyne makaihe. Its description in RNAcentral is "tRNA-Thr". The record is from RNAcentral. Lineage: Eukaryota; Metazoa; Arthropoda; Insecta; Hemiptera; Cicadellidae.